Molecule: long non-coding RNA, 610 nt
Filed under: Homo sapiens (human)
Lineage: Eukaryota; Metazoa; Chordata; Mammalia; Primates; Hominidae
Description: non-protein coding lnc-SLC14A1-1:1
Source: RNAcentral
GGCGGAACUGUUGGGUUGCCGGCAGCCGGGAAGGGUUUGCCUGACACUCUUGGCUGGGCGGGAAGAAAUGGGGGGAAGGAGAAGGGCGGCGCACUGGGCUGCUGGAAGCUGGGUUCCUUCCGAAGGGACGUUACGCUACCGUCCGUAAUAUCACCCCAAGCCCUAGCAUUCUCAGGAAAGUCGCUUAUGAAGCUAUGACUCAAGUGCCGCAGUGCUUGGGCCCACGCUUCGCAGCGUGGAAUCAGCGGCGGGGCGCGGCGGCACGAGGAAGCUGUGCAAAGCCGAAGGGGCAGCCUCAGACCAGGAACCUUACCCGUCUGGCGGGUCUUAUGGCCGAGUCACCGUGGCGGCGCGGCAGCUCGGGCCCGGUUCUUCCGGGCGGGCCGGGGUGGUCACCUCUGCAAAGCAGGGUUUCUGGGCCGUGAUCGAGUCUUGCUCACGGGCAUGUCGGGAAACGCCUGCUGCGCUCCCUGCCUGAAAAUCCACUCUUGAAAAUGCACUCCCUUAGGUUAAAACGCUGCCUUUCCUAAGGACCUUCUUUAAAAGUAAAUCCUAACAUAAACUUGCAAGACAUGGCCUGUAUGAGAAGAAAAAGACCACACGAAAGCAG